GAUAUAUCCUUUCUUCCCGUUGAUUUCCUUUUCCUCUACGGUCCUGAGUCAUCUUUUUCAAUUAUCAAGAACGAUCGAGAGAUAGAGAAAUCGGAGAUAGAGAGAGAUAGAGAAGGAGAUCGGAGGCAAAUCCCUAAAGCAUAGAGUCGUCGCCCAGUCAAUCCAAUUGAAUUCGAUAAUUUCAAGCUAGGGUUCCAAAGUUUGAACCUUUAAUCCGUCUUUGUAAAGUCUGAGGCAUUCAAAUAGAAAAGGGAAGAAGAAUUUCCCAUCUCGAAUUUCAUAGGUGAGACUUCAAUCUUUUAUUCUGUGCCUUUUCUCAUUUAAGUAUAUUUCUCGCUUUCAAAUAUGAUCAAGUAGCUGGUCCUGUGUUUGGUUGAUUGAGUAUUCUGUGCCUUUUCUCAUUUAAGUAUAUUUCUCGCUUUAAAAUAGGACAAGUGGAAGUUAUUUGUGACUUUGUGAGAAUGUGAUUUGAAAUUCUUUCUGGGUGCUGUAUUUGAUGGGUGAAGGAUUGGAAUAGUUGAUGAUAAGGAAUGAGGUUUUGAAUCAUUUUGUGAUUGCUGUUGAUGAGCCACGACAUCCUUUUUUUUUUUUUUUUUUUUUCCCGGCUCUCUCUUCGCUCUUCUUUUCCUUAAUCAUCGCUCCUUGAUAUUGAUCGUUGAAAUUAAACUAAGUCGUUUUGUUUCUAUGAAAUUUUUUUAUUUUUUUAUUCGUGUUCUUUCUGGGAAUUAUUGAAGAAGUAGGGAUUUAGACCUUCUUGGCUUAUUUCUGAGGAUUGAUGACUUUUUAGGGGCAGUUGCUGCAAGUAGUCCUAACUUUAUUACUGGAAUCCUCUGAUAAGUGCUAUGUUUUGUAGAAUUCUGUAACUGCUGCAAUUAAGUUACCUUCUCAGCUUGGUUCUUUUCUUUGUAUUAACAUUUGGUUGAUGCCUCAUCAUGUGCACUUUUGUAUACAGUUAACAUACAUGUCCCUUAGUAGUGUCAUUGAUGCCUUUUUGUUAAUCUUCCGCAAUAUUCUUAAUUUCAAAGCUUAAUUCUAUA
This is a long non-coding RNA of Rosa rugosa (rugosa rose), 1037 nucleotides long. RefSeq lists it as uncharacterized. The record is from RefSeq and is a predicted model, not a curated record. NCBI's taxonomy places the organism in Eukaryota, Viridiplantae, Streptophyta, Magnoliopsida, Rosales, Rosaceae. The transcript has 2 exons.